RNAcentral lists this ribosomal RNA (256 nucleotides) under uncultured bacterium. Its description in RNAcentral is "partial 16S ribosomal RNA". It matches the Rfam family "Bacterial small subunit ribosomal RNA", at positions 524 to 776 of the family's 1533-position model. The record is from RNAcentral.
UACGGAAGAUGCAAGCGUUAUCCGGAAUUACUGGGCGUAAAGAGUUGCGUAGGUGGCAUAGUAAGUCAGUAGUGAAAGCGUGGGGGCUCAACCCCCAUACACAUUAUUGAAACUGCUAAGCUAGAGGACGAGAGAGGUAACUGGAAUUCUCAGUGUAGGAGUGAAAUCCGUAGAUAUUGGGCAGAACACCGAUGGCGUAGGCAGGUUACUGGCUCGUUCCUGACACUAAGGCACGAAAGCGUGGGUAGCAAACGGG